AUUGAACGCUGGCGGAAUGCUUUACACAUGCAAGUCGAACGGUAGAGGGGGCAACCCCUCGAGAGUGGCGAACGGGUGAGUAAUAUAUCGGAACGUGCCCAGUCGUGGGGGAUAACGUAGCGAAAGUUACGCUAAUACCGCAUACGAUCUAUGGAUGAAAGUGGGGGAUCGCAAGACCUCAUGCACCUGGAGCGGCCGAUAUCAGAUUAGGUAGUUGGUGGGGUAAAGGCCCACCAAGCCAACGAUCUGUAGCUGGUCUGAGAGGACGACCAGCCACACUGGAACUGGGACACGGUCCAGACUCCUACGGGAGGCAGCAGUGGGGAAUUUUGGAAAAUGGGCGAAAGCCUGAUCCAGCCAUUCCGCGUGCAGGAUGAAGGCCCUCGGGUUGUAAACUGCUUUUGUACAGAACGAAAAGGUUUCUACUAAUACUAGGAGCUCAUGACGGUACUGUAAGAAUAAGCACCGGCUAACUACGUGCCAGCAGCCGCCGUAA
Molecule: ribosomal RNA, 496 nt
Filed under: uncultured bacterium
Lineage: Bacteria
Description: partial 16S ribosomal RNA
Rfam family: Bacterial small subunit ribosomal RNA
Source: RNAcentral